UACGAACCGUCCAAACGUUAUUCGGAUUUAUUGGGCUUAAAGGGUACGUAGGCGGCCCUGUCAGUCGGGUGUGAAAUCCCUCGGCUCAACCGAGGAACUGCGCCCGAUACUGCAGGGCUUGAGGGAGACAGAGGUAAGCGGAACUGAUGGUGGAGCGGUGAAAUGCGUUGAUAUCAUCAGGAACACCGGUGGCGAAAGCGGCUUACUGGGUCUCUUCUGACGCUGAGGUACGAAAGCUAGGGGAGCGAACGGG
RNAcentral lists this ribosomal RNA (253 nucleotides) under uncultured bacterium. Its description in RNAcentral is "partial 16S ribosomal RNA". It matches the Rfam family "Bacterial small subunit ribosomal RNA", at positions 524 to 776 of the family's 1533-position model. The record is from RNAcentral.